Molecule: ribosomal RNA, 509 nt
Filed under: uncultured bacterium
Lineage: Bacteria
Description: partial 16S ribosomal RNA
Rfam family: Bacterial small subunit ribosomal RNA
Source: RNAcentral
GACGAACGCUGGCGGCGUGCUUAACACAUGCCAGUCGAACGAAGAGCGAUGGAAGCUUGCUUCUAUCAAUCUUAGUGGCGAACGGGUGAGUAACGCGUAAUCAACCUGCCCUUCAGAGGGGGACAACAGUUGGAAACGACUGCUAAUACCGCAUACGAUCUAACCUCGGCAUCGAGGAUAGAUGAAAGGUGGCCUCUACAUGUAAGCUAUCACUGAAGGAGGGGAUUGCGUCUGAUUAGCUAGUUGGAGGGGUAACGGCCCACCAAGGCGAUGAUCAGUAGCCGGCUGGGAGGAAGGACCGGCAAAAUGGGAACGAGGACAGGGCCCAGACUCCACGGGAGGCAGCAGUGGGGAAUCUUCCGCAAUGGACGAAAGUCUGACGGAGCAACGCCGCGUGAGUGAUGACGGCCUUCGGGUUGUAAAGCUCUGUUAAUCGGGACGAAAGGCCUUCUUGCGAAUAGUUAGAAGGAUUGACGGUACCGGAAUAGAAAGCCACGGCUAACUACGUG